UACGUAAGUCCCAAGCGUUACCCGGAAUUAUUGGGUGUAAAGGGUCCGUAGGCGGAUCUAUAAGUCAGGUAUGAAAGACCGGAGCUCAACUCCGCGUUUGUGCUUGAAACUGUAGGUCUAGAAUCAGGGAGAGGUUAGCGGAAUUCUUAGUGUAGGGGUGCAAUCCGUAGAUACUAAGAAGAACACCAAAAGCGAAGGCAGCUAACUGGAACUCGAUAGACGCUGAGGGACGAAAGCGUGGGGAGCGAAGAGG
This 253-nucleotide ribosomal RNA is filed under the name uncultured bacterium. Its description in RNAcentral is "partial 16S ribosomal RNA". It matches the Rfam family "Bacterial small subunit ribosomal RNA", at positions 524 to 776 of the family's 1533-position model. The record is from RNAcentral.